Molecule: ribosomal RNA, 390 nt
Filed under: uncultured bacterium
Lineage: Bacteria
Description: bacterial SSU rRNA
Rfam family: Bacterial small subunit ribosomal RNA
Source: RNAcentral
AUUAAACGCUGGCGGCAUGCCUUACACAUGCAAGUCGAACGGCAGCACGGGGGCAACCCUGGUGGCGAGUGGCGGACGGGUGAGUAAAGCAUCGGAACGUAUCCUGGAGUGGGGGAUAACGUAGCGAAAGUUGCGCUAAUACCGCAUAUUCUGUGAGCAGGAAAGCAGGGGACCGCAAGGCCUUGCGCUCUUUGAGCGGCCGAUGUCAGAUUAGCUAGUUGGUGAGGUAAAGGCUUACCAAGGCGACGAUCUGUAGCGGGUCUGAGAGGAUGAUCCGCCACACUGGAACUGAGACACGGUCCAGACUCCUACGGGAGGCAGCAGUGGGGAAUUUUGGACAAUGGGGGCAACCCUGAUCCAGCCAUGCCGCGUGAGUGAAGAAGGCCUCGG